Non-coding RNA from Phalacrocorax carbo (great cormorant), 635 nucleotides. The record is from RefSeq and is a predicted model, not a curated record. Lineage: Eukaryota; Metazoa; Chordata; Aves; Suliformes; Phalacrocoracidae.
UGGUUUUUUUUUCUGUUUUGUUUUGUCUUGUUUUCUUUAACCAUGCUAGUAACACAAUGAUUCAGAUCUACUUGUGUAUAUAUAUAAUUUUUAUGUACAUAAACUACAUAGACCUUUACUGGAAAAAAUUGCAAAUGAGAUUCUAGAUGUUAAGUAGGAGAGGCAAAGCUGAAAUACAGCUUGCCUUUAUUAGCUUUUGUUGGAAGUAGCUGGGACCUCCCAGAGUGAAACAGUUAGUUAAACAUUAGCCAUUCAGGUACUAAGGACAGUUUAAAAAUAUCCUGACUGUAAAACUGAUGAAGCAAGAGCACGGUUCAUCUGUACUAGUUGACAUGUUGCAUAACAUAUGUUAAAGCUGAGUAUAAAGCCAGUACUUCUUUUUCACAGGGAAAAUGUCUAUGAAGAGAGCUUAUACGUCAUGCCAUACCAUGAGGAUUUGAAUAAGCUGCUCUUAAUAAACAUUUCUACAGGACUUCAUAUGCUAUUUAACCUGACUUGCAGUGUUUCUCAUCAGAAGCAACUUGAUUUUAGAAGUGGAAAGAGUGACUCCAUAAUGUAAGAUCCUUGGAAAAGGACCCAUCCUAUUUGGAUCAAAUAUGUGUAAUUUUGAUUCUGUAUCAAUAGCACUAAACUUC